Molecule: transfer RNA, 65 nt
Filed under: Sepioteuthis lessoniana
Lineage: Eukaryota; Metazoa; Mollusca; Cephalopoda; Myopsida; Loliginidae
Description: tRNA-Ala
Source: RNAcentral
GGUAUUAUACUUUAUUAAAGAAGAUAUGAUUUGCAAUCAUACAGAAAGGGUUACCUUUAAUACCA